Molecule: long non-coding RNA, 4494 nt
Filed under: Macaca mulatta (Rhesus monkey)
Lineage: Eukaryota; Metazoa; Chordata; Mammalia; Primates; Cercopithecidae
Description: lncRNA (ENSMMUG00000060757.1)
Source: RNAcentral
CUUUUAAAUAAAUAAGUGAAAAAUUUCCUUCAGUCUUUAGACCCAUAAUCUUAUCUCAGGAAAUAAUUGCUAUUGAGAAAAUGGGCCAUAUCCUUCAAGACACAUACAUGGUGAUUGAACAUCACUUCACAUUUUCAUAUUUCGUGGACAUUUGUGCCAAUACCUAUUGAUCUAUCUUAAUCCUUUUCAUGGUUGCAUAAUAUUUUGUUAUAUACAUGUAUCACAGUUUACUCAUCAGCUGCUGUAGGCAUUUAGGCUCCUUCUAAUAUUUGCUUUGAGUUCUUUAUAUAAUUAAAAAUUAACCCCCUCAGCCAGGUGUGAGGUCACACCUCUGUGGUGUUACAGGCAGGUCACACCUGUAAUCCCAGCACUUUGGAAGGUUGAGGUGGGAGAACUGCCUGAGUGUGGGAGAUCACCACCAGCCUGGUCACCAUAGCGACACUUUGUCUCUACUAAAAAUUAAAAAAAUAUUGAGCUACACAUUGCACUGUACACCUAUAGUCCCAGCUACUGGGGAGGCUAAGACUGGAGGAUCACUUGAGCCUAGAAUGUUGAGGCUGCAGUAAGCUAUGAUCACACCACUGCACUUUAGCUUUGGUAAGAGCAAGACUGUUUCUUAAAUAAAAUAAAAAUUAGAUGGGAAUAUUGCUGGAGCCCUGGAGGUUGAGGCUUCAGUUAACUGUGAUUGCACCACUGCAGUCCAGCCUAGGCGAUAGAGCAAGACCCUUUUUCUAAAAAUAAAAUAAAAAGUAACCUUCUGUUACAUUUCCCAGUAACACUUUCCCUCCUAUGUUUCUGCUGGAAGCCCUUGCAUUUUGUUUGUUUUUCACAUACCAUUUAAAACUUUUAAGUACUGAUGUAUGUCUGUGUCAUCCCUCUUUUUUCUUUUCUUUUUUUUUUUUUUUUUAAAGAAUGUGUUUUUGUCACUCCAGCUGGAUCUACCAUGAAAGACUUCUGAAUCCAGGAAGAGAGACUGACUGGGCAACAUGUUAUUCAGCUCAACUCGAGCCAUUUCCUGAUUGCAUCAUCAGCAAGGAGCUGGUUAUUGGGCUGUCCAGACCUCCCAAGUGGCACAGAAAUGAGGUGAGGGAGUUUUCCUGCUCCUCCACUCUGUGAGGAGUUGGAAGAUGAUGUUUACUCGUUUGCAGAGAGAGAUGCCUUGUAAGCACCUUAGGAUGGAGGGGACCCUGAUUCCAAUGUCAUUUUUUUCUUUAGAAACAGGACCUUGCCUUGUCACUCAGGAUGGAGUUCAGUGGUCCAAUCACGGCUCACUGUAGCCUCAAACUCAAGCAAUCCUGCCACAUCAGCCUUCCCAGUAGCUGGGACCACAGGUGAGCACCAUGACACUCAGUGAAUCUUGUUGUGAUUUUUUUUGUAGAGAUGGGGCCUCAAGUGUGUUGCCAGAGCUGACCUUGAACUCCUGCACUCAAGGGAUUUUCCUGCCUUGGCCUCCCAAAGUAUUGGUAUUACAGGCAUGAGCCAUUGUGCCCACUGUCUCUGGUUCUUUACCUUCUGCCUCCCUCUUCCACUUUUAAAGAAUGCUUGUAAUUACAUGGACUCUUCUAGAUAUUCCAGGAUAAUCUUGUUUUAAGGUCAGCUGAUUUUCAACAUUAAUUUUAUCUGCACUCUUAAUUCCCCCUUCCUAUGUAAUUGUGCUGUGUAACAUAGGACAUGAACAAUUGGUGGGGGUGGGGGUUAUUACUUUGGCUACCACAGUAACUGUUUUGUGCUAGGUACUGAGCUAAGCACUGGUGAAUUAAGCAUGAAUAACACACUCUCCCUAAUCUCCAUCCAUUCAUGGGAGGAGCACCUCACCUGCCAUGCUCCUGAGAAUCUGGGGAGUCAAGGAAGUCUUCCGUGAGGAGGUGAUGCCAAAGCGGACAAGUGACAGAGGAGCUGAAGCUAGCCAGGAAGAGAGUAGAGGUUUAAGGGGAAGCGUAUUAUAAGCAGAGGGCAUCACCCACUUCAGAGAGUCCCAGAGGAGAAAGAUGAGGCUCAGCUGGACUCCAUAGUAGGUGAAAUGGAGAGGGGCAAGCAGUGAGGCUGCCUUGCAAGGCAGGGCAGAGCAGGGGCUGUUAAGGAGUCUGGACUUAAUCCCGGAGGCAAGGAGAAGUGAUGUAAAUGGGGGAGUAACGUGAUGAGAUUCACGGAUUAGAGACAUGGUUCAGGCUGCUGUAGCGAAGGCACCAGGAGGAGCAGAUGGCUCAGUGGGUGUGCAGGAGACCUCUCACUGAGUUUAGGAAGAGGUUUUUAAAAUAGAAGAAGUUUGAGUAAUUUAAAUGAUGGUGGGAAGGAGCUAAAAGUGGGGGAUAGGUUAAAGAUACAGGAAAGUGGGAGGAAGAACUGACAAGUGAGGUUCCUGAGAGGGCAGGAGAAGAGGAGAUUCCCAUAGGGGGAUUAAUACUUUCUUUUCUUUUUCUAAGACAGGGUCUUACUCUGUCACCUAGGCUGGAGUUCAGUGCAUGAUCUUGGCUCACUGUAGUGUAGACUUCCCAGGCUCAAGGGAUCCUCCCACCCAGACUCCCAAGUAGCUGGAACUACAGGUGUACACCACCACCACACCUGGCUAAUAUUGUUCUUUUUUUUGGGUAGACACAGCGUCUCACUAUGUUGCUCUGACUGGUCUCCAACUCCUGGCCUCAAGCGAUCCUGCUGUCUAGGCUUCCGAAAUUGCUGGGAUUACAGGCAUGAGCCAUAAUGCCUGACCUCUGCUAGUUCUGUAUUCUCUAGAGAUGUCUUUACUUCGUGCUAGUGUGUCCCUCAUUAUGCUGAUCCUCUGUUAAAAUUAAUACCUUUUUUUCUUUUGAGAUGGAGUUUCACUCUUGUUGCCCAGGCUGGAGUGCAAUGGCGCUAUCUCGACUCACCGCAAUCUCCGCCUGCCGGGUUCAAGUGAUUCUCCUGCCUCAGCCUCCUGAGUAACUGGGAUGACAGCCAUGUGCCACCAUGCCCAGCUAAUUUUGUAUUUUUGGUAGAGACUGGGUUUCUCCGCGUUGGUCAGGCUGGUCUCGAACUCCUGACCUCAGGUGAUCUGCCUGCCUUGGCCUCCCAAAGUGCUGGGAUUACAGGCAUGAGCCAUUUCGCCUGGCCAAAAUCAAUACUUUUAUAUUAAAUUGACAUAUAUGUAUUGUUUUUCUUUUUGAUACCGGGUCUUCACGCUGUCACCCAGGCUGGAGUGCAGUGGCACAACCUCUGCUCAUCGCAGCCUCCACCUGCCAAGCUCAAGCAAUUCUCCUGCCUCAGCCUCCCACGUUGCUGGGAUUACAGGUAAGUCCCACCACGUAGCUAAUUUUUGUGUUUUUUGUAGAGAUGGGAUUUCACCAUAUUUCCCAGACUGGUCUCAAACUCCUGAGCUCAAGGCAAUCCACCCACCUUGGCCUUCCAAGUGCUGAGAUUACAGGUGUGAUCCACCUUGCUCAUUCCAGUUUAAACUUUUGAGUUGUUUGUGUCUCCUGAUUGGACUCCUACAAAUACAGAAUUGAUGCUAGGAAGGGUACCAGGAGAUAGACCCACACAGAUAGGAUUUGGGAAUAGGUUUGGUUAUCCAAGGAGCAGUGCUGAACUCCUUCCUAAUGGGAUAUAGGAUGCUGGUGAUUUCCAGGAAGUGACCUCACAAUGACUCAAGCUACCACUUACUAUUGAUUGUGGUGAAAUGCCAGGUGAAGCGUAUGCCCUGUGAGCUUAGGGGUGCUACAGUUGACCACUGCCACAGUAAAGAUGACUCUGAAGAAUGGCAUGGGAUGGAUCCUUCGAAUGCACUUGAGCAGCGGUCUCCAACCAAAGGCCAUAGAACCGAAGGUGAGCAGCAGGCGAGUGAGGGGAAACUUCAUCUGUAUUUCUAGCCCCUCCUAUCGCUUGUAUGACCACCUGAGCUCCAUGUCCUGUCAGAUGAGCAGCAGCAUUCGAUUCUCAUAGAAGCACGAACCCUGUUGUGAAGCAUGCAUGCGAGGGAUCUAGGUUGUGCACUCCUUAUGAGAAUCUAAUGCCUGAUGUUCUGUCACUGUCUCCCAUCACCCUAGAUGGACAGUGUCGUUGCAGGAAAACAAGCUCAGAGAUCCCACUGAGUCUACAUUAUAGUGAGUUGUAGAAUUAUUUCAUUAUAUAUUACAAUGUAGUAAUAAUAGAAAUAAAGUGCACAGUAUAUGUAAUACAUUUGAAUCAUCCUGAAAUUAUUCCCUCCACUCCCAGUCUGUGGAAAAAUUGUCUUCCACACGUUCACUCUGUUUUUUGGUAGAGACAGGGUCUUAAUAUAUUGCUCAGGCUGAUCUCAAAUUCCUGGCCUCAAGUAAUAUACCUCUCGGCCUCCCAAAGUGCUGAGAUUACAGGCGUAAGCCACCACCCUCAACCAAGACUUAUUCCUUAAACCAAAUAAAAAUUAAGUGAGAUGACUUGAGACCAGGUGGUCGAGGCUGCAGCGAGCCCUAAUUGCACCACUGCACUCCAGCCUAGGUGACAGAAAAUAAAAAUAAAAUAAAAAUAAUGUCUCAAAAAAUAAAA